GGUCUGUUGUCAGUAGCACUAGGACUGGGUCUGUUGUCAGUAACACUAGGGUCUGUUGUCAGUAACACUAGGGCUGGGUCUGUUAUCAGUAACACUAGGGCUGGGUCUGUUGUCAGUAACACUAGGGCUGGGUCUGUUGUCAGUAACACUAGGACUGGGUCUGUUGUCAGUAACACUAGGGCUGGGUCUGUUGUUGUCAGUAACACUAGGACUGGGUCUGUUAUCAGUAACACUAGGGCUGGGUCUGUUGUCAGUAACACUAGGGCUGGGUCUGUUGUCAGUAACACUUGGGUCUGUUGUCAGUAACAAUAGGGUCUGUUAUCAGUAACACUAGGGCUGGGUCUGUUGUCAGUAACACUAGGGCUGGGUCUGUUGUCUGACAGUUCUACCAGUCUCUGCUACAGUGGGAUUCUACCAGUCUCUGCUACAGUGGGAUUCUACCAGUCUCUGCUACAGUGGGAUUCUACCAGUCUCUGCUACAGUGGGAUUCUACCAGUCUCUGAUACAGUGGGAUUCUACCAGUCUCUACUACAGUGGGAUUAUACCAGUCUCUACUAUAGUGGGAUUCUACCAGUCUCUGCUACAGUGGGAUUCUACCAGUCUCUGCUACAGUGGGAUUCUACCAGUCUCUGCUACAGUGGGAUUCUACCAGUCUCUGCUACAGUGGGAUUCUACCAGUCUCUGAUACAGUGGGAUUCUACCAGUCUCUACUACAGUGGGAUUAUACCAGUCUCUACUAUAGUGGGAUUCUACCAGUCUCUACUACAGUGGGAUUCUACCAGUCUCUACUGAUUCUACCGGUCUCUACUACAGUGGGAUUCUACCAGUUUCUGCUAAUUCUACCAGUCUCUACUACAGCAGGAUUCUACCAGUCUCUACUGAUUCUACCAGUCUCUACUGAUUCUACCAGUCUCUACUACAGUGGGAUUCUACCAGUCUCUACUGAUUCUACCAGUCUCUACUGAUUCUACCAGUCUCUACUACAGUGGGAUUCUACCAGUCUCUACUACAGUGGGAUUCUACCAGUCUCUACUGAUUCUACCAGUCUCUACUGAUUUUACCAGUCUCUACUGAUUCUACCAGUCUCUGAUACAGUGGGAUUCUACCAGUCUCUACUACAGUGGGAUUCUACCAGUCUCUACUGAUUCUACCAGUCUCUACUGAUUCUACCAGUCUCUACUGAUUCUACCAGUCUCUACUGAUUCUACCAGUCUCUACUGAUUCUACCAGUCUCUACUGAUUCUACCAGUCUCUACUGAUUCUACCAGUCUCUACUGAUUCUACCAGUCUCUACUGAUUCUACCAGUCUCUACUACACUGUGAUGUCUCUUCUUAUUUACACUUGGUUUCAUUUUACA
Molecule: long non-coding RNA, 1358 nt
Organism: Oncorhynchus tshawytscha (Chinook salmon)
Lineage: Eukaryota; Metazoa; Chordata; Actinopteri; Salmoniformes; Salmonidae
Source: Ensembl